UUCGAGCACAGAGAGAGAGACCAAACGAGUGAGCGAGCAAGUGAGAGAGAGAGAUGCGAGCAGUGAGUGAGUGCACGAUGUGAGGAAGAAGAGAUUGCUCGUGCCCGUGCUCAAGCUGCCGUCGUCGUCGCCGCCGGUCUUCGUUGCUGUUGAGCCAAGCCCGAGCUUUCGGUUUUGCUUGCUGUCAAACUAAGGAAUUAGAGGCAAGUAGAAGUUCAUCAAUCUAUGUGAUGUAGUGCUGUUGCUGUCUAGUGUAGUGCAAUAGACUUGAGGAAGGGUUGAGAUGAAAACUAAAUGCCAAUUUGUGGAGGAUUGAAUGUGAAGUUGCUGUCUUGUGUUGGAUUGAGCUAGAUAAGUUCUAGAUUGAGGCUAUAAGUCAUUGCAUGUUGCAUUUGAGGCUUGCAUGUCUCGAAAUCUAAUUGUAAGUGAGCUAUGAUUGUUGAGUGAGGUGUAAUGGUGUGUGCCGAGUGAAGAAAAGGUGAUGCGUGUUGAGUUACAUGAGCCGAGAUGUGAGUACGUGCUUUGUACCGAGUUGUGAAGGAUUCUAGGUGAGUGAAAAUGUACUAUGACUACUCCUAGAUGCCGUGUAAGUGUG
This 595-nucleotide long non-coding RNA is filed under the name Eucalyptus grandis. RNAcentral's name for it is "long non-coding RNA (EGRA_LNC003697)". The record is from RNAcentral. Lineage: Eukaryota; Viridiplantae; Streptophyta; Magnoliopsida; Myrtales; Myrtaceae.